CAUUAAUGCUGAUGAGAGAGUUCUUUGGGGUUGGGAAAUUGUAAGCGCUUCCAGGGUAGUGAUUUCCUCCAACCUAAAUUUUACACAUGUGCACACAGAACACUUAGCAGCCGGCCUCUUCCUCACCCCUAUCCUGUUUUUCCGGAGGACUCUGAGGUAGAGGGGAGGGGCUGUGGAGGCGCACAGAAGCCUCCCUACCCAAAAAUCCAUCAUUCUCCGACGUAAUUUGGCGCUCGGGGAAAGGGCCUGGGCGGUGCAUGGAGAGCCAGCUGCGUGGCCCUGGGCAAGUCACUUAGGCCCCGUGGCCUACUCUUAACCGCUCCUCUGCCUAGAAACCAACACGCAGUAUUGAUUCUGAGAUAGAAGGUAACAGAAGAAUCAGUCCUUCCCGGAAUGAAAGACCCUGAAGCCAUUUCACAGAUAUUCCGUGGUAGAAAGACCCGCUAAAAAGCAAGCAGCCACUGGCUCCACCCAGGGCCCAGCCAAUAUAAAGAAAGGGAGAGCAUAUCCCUGCCCUAAAGCUUCUAAGUGGGGCCGGAGGCUUGAUGCCAGGAGCAAAGGACCCAUAGCUAGGGGUCAGAGCAGUCUGCAGAGCACACAGCAGCCAGGUGAAGCAAAGAUGGUCCCUGCAGUUCCUGUGUCUCCUGCUUUCUAGAAGCUGACUGAAAAAGAGCCAACAAAAUCCCAAGUGGAAUGGGGCCCUAAGGUGCCCUUCCCGAACCCCAGGGGUUCACCUCAAGCCCCCCACACCAGAAGGAGCUCACGACGUUCCCUCACACUGUCAUGGGAAAAGCGUCGCAUUCCGAGGAGGAAUUAGAAACCCACAAGAGAGAGCUUGCCUGGGAAGGACCGCAGAGCUGUUCCUACCAAGCAUGCGGAAGCAAGAAUCAGAGCCUUCCAUGCAAGGUCCCUGCAGGUGUGUGAAGACAGCCAUCGCGGCCCCCAAAGUUGUCUCAUCUUGCAUUUCUUCAACCAAUCAGUAUUCAUGAUUUCAACCUUCUCCGCAUUGGUUGCCCUUCUCUGGCCACUCUAGAGCUUAUCAGCGUCUUCCACGAAAUGCAGCUCCCGGAAUGGAACACAACACUACAUUGGCGGUAGACUAGGGCCGGCCACACCUGGAACUGUCAGCCCCUAACCCCGGACCCUGGGCCUCUCACUGCCGCAAAAGAAGGUGGUGUUUGCUCUUCCCUUGCUGUUUUAACUUUACUAAACUCCUUGAGCUUUUCGGAUAACUGCUGUCGAAUCCCUUAUCUUGACUUAGGAAGCUGAUUUUUUAAACCAAAACAGAAAACCAUAUUUUUAAAAAUUCAAUUUUAUUUUAUCUUCGGGUCUGAAUUCUCUCUUCCCCAGUUCUUCCUCAUCCUUACCCCCCUCCCCCACCCCACUGAGAAAGUUUUGGGGUUUUUUUAAGUUACAAAUACAUACAGUUAAGCAAAACAAAACCUUGCCUUGGUCCUGUUAAUAAUAAUAAAAAGGACAAUAAGACUCA
RNAcentral lists this long non-coding RNA (1489 nucleotides) under Monodelphis domestica (gray short-tailed opossum). Its description in RNAcentral is "lncRNA (ENSMODG00000048470.1)". The record is from RNAcentral. Lineage: Eukaryota; Metazoa; Chordata; Mammalia; Didelphimorphia; Didelphidae.